RNAcentral lists this ribosomal RNA (468 nucleotides) under uncultured bacterium. RNAcentral describes it as "partial 16S ribosomal RNA". It matches the Rfam family "Bacterial small subunit ribosomal RNA", at positions 28 to 507 of the family's 1533-position model. The record is from RNAcentral.
GACGAGCGCUGGCGGCGUGCUUAACACAUGCAAGUCGAACGGAAAGGCCCUGCUUUUGUGGGGUGCUCGAGUGGCGAACGGGUGAGUAACACGUGAGUAACCUGCCCUUGACUUUGGGAUAACUUCAGGAAACUGGGGCUAAUACCGGAUAGGAGCUCCUGCUGCAUGGUGGGGGUUGGAAAGUUUCGGCGGUUGGGGAUGGACUCGCGGCUUAUCAGCUUGUUGGUGGGGUAGUGGCUUACCAAGGCUUUGACGGGUAGCCGGCCUGAGAGGGUGACCGGCCACAUUGGGACUGAGAUACGGCCCAGACUCCUACGGGAGGCAGCAGUGGGGAAUAUUGCACAUUGGGCGGAAGCCUGAUGCAGCAACGCCGCGUGCGGGAUGACGGCCUUCGGGUUGUAAACCGCUUUCGCCUGUGACGAAGCGUGAGUGACGGUAAUGGGUAAAGAAGCACCGGCUAACUACGUG